UGGGGAAUAUUGCACAAUGGGCGAAAGCCUGAUGCAGCAACGCCGCGUGAGCGAUGAAGGCCUUUGGGUCGUAAAGCUCUGUCCUUGGGGAAGAAAAAAAUGACGGUACCCUUGGAGGAAGCCCCGGCUAACUACGUGCCAGCAGCCGCGGUAAUACGUAGGGGGCAAGCGUUAUCCGGAAUUAUUGGGCGUAAAGAGUGCGUAGGUGGUUUUGUAAGCGCGGGGUGAAAGGCAAUGGCUCAACUAUUGUAAGCCCUGCGAACUGUGAGACUUGAGUGCAGGAGAGGAAAGCGGAAUUCCUAGUGUAGCGGUGAAAUGCGUAGAUAUUAGGAGGAACACCAGUGGCGAAGGCGGCUUUCUGGACUGUAACUGACACUGAGGCACGAAAGCGUGGGGAGCAAACA
This 404-nucleotide ribosomal RNA is filed under the name uncultured bacterium. RNAcentral describes it as "bacterial SSU rRNA". It matches the Rfam family "Bacterial small subunit ribosomal RNA", at positions 355 to 774 of the family's 1533-position model. The record is from RNAcentral.